Molecule: ribosomal RNA, 1287 nt
Filed under: metagenome
Description: SSU rRNA
Rfam family: Eukaryotic small subunit ribosomal RNA
Source: RNAcentral
AAUCGAGGCCCCGUAAUUGGAAUGAGUACACUUUAAAUCCUUUAACGAGGAUCAAUUGGAGGGCAAGUCUGGUGCCAGCAGCCGCGGUAAUUCCAGCUCCAAUAGCGUAUAUUAAAGUUGUUGCAGUUAAAAAGCUCGUAGUUGGAUCUCAGGAUUUGGAUGGAUGGUUCGCUUUCGGGCGCUACUAUCUGUCUGACCUACUCUAGUCGUGGAUGCCUUGGGUGCUCUUAAUUGAGUGCUUUUGGUGCCCGACGCAAUUACUUUGAAAAAAAUUAGAGUGCUCAAAGCAGGCGUAUUGCCUGAAUAGUGUUGCAUGGAAUAAUGAAAUAGGAGUUUACUUCUAUUUUGUUGGUUUUCGGAGGUGAACUAAUGAUUAACAGGGACAGACGGGGGCAUUUGUAUGGAGGGGUUAGAGGUGAAAUUCUUGGAUCCUCUCCAGACAAACUACUGCGAAAGCAUUUGCCAGGAAUGUUUUCACUAAUCAAGAACGAAAGUCAGAGGUUCGAAGACGAUCAGAUACCGUCCUAGUUCUGACCAUAAAUGAUGCCAUCUAACAAUCCACGAAGUUUGCUUGUACGAACUCGUGGGCGGUCCCCGGGAAACCAAAGAUUUUGGGUUCCGGGGGAAGUAUGGUUGCAAAGCUGAAACUUAAAGGAAUUGACGGAAGGGCACCACCAGGAGUGGAGCCUGCGGCUUAAUUUGACCCAACACGGGAAACCUCACCCGGCCCGGACACUUUUAGGAUUGACAGAUUGAAGGCUCUUUCUUGAUCAAGUGGUUGGUGGUGCAUGGCCGUUCUUAGUUGGUGGAGCGAUUUGUCUGGUUAAUUCCGAUAACGAACGAGACUCUACUCUGCUAAAUAGAACGUUGAUAUAUAAAAGUCAGUGCUGACUUCUUAGAGAGACUAACGGCGUUUAGCCGUGUGAGAAAGAGCAAUAACAGGUCUGUGAUGCCCUUAGAUGUCCGGAGCCGCACGCGCGCUACACUGACUGCAGCAACUAGUAUGCUCCUGGUUUGAAAAAACUGGGUAACCUGGUUGAAUUGCAGGCGUGACAGGGAUCAGAGUUUGCAAUUAUCCUCUGUGAACGAGGAAUUCCCAGUAAGCGCAAGUCAUUAGCUUGUGCUGAUUACGUCCCUGCCCUUUGUACACACCGCCCGUCGCUACUACCGAUUGAAUGGUUUAGUGAGGUCUUCGGAUUGGUGCUGAUGGAGUGGUUCUCUGCUCUGUUAGUGCCGAGAAGAUGAUCAAACUUGAUCAUUUAGAGGAAGUAAAAGUCGUAACAAGGU